AGAACGAACGCUGGCGGCACGCCUAACACAUGCAAGUCGAGCGCCCAGCAAUGGGAGCGGCGGACGGGUGAGUAACACGUGGGAACAUGCCUUUCGGUACGGAACAACUGCGGGAAACUGCAGCUAAUGCCGUAUACGCCCUUACGGGGAAAGAUUUAUCGCCGAAAGAUUGGCCCGCGUCUGAUUAGCUAGUUGGUGAGGUAACGGCUCACCAAGGCUUCGAUCAGUAGCUGGUUUGAGAGAACGACCAGCCACAUUGGGACUGAGACACGGCCCAAACUCCUACGGGAGGCAGCAGUGGGGAAUCUUGGACAAUGGGGGAACCCUGAUCCAGCGAUGCCGCGUGAGUGAUGAAGGCCUUCGGGUUGUAAAACUCUUUCGACGGGGACGAUAAUGACGGUACCCGUAGAAGAAGCUCCGGCUAACUUCGUGCCAGCAGCCGC
RNAcentral lists this ribosomal RNA (443 nucleotides) under uncultured bacterium. RNAcentral's name for it is "SSU rRNA". It matches the Rfam family "Bacterial small subunit ribosomal RNA", at positions 26 to 518 of the family's 1533-position model. The record is from RNAcentral.